RNAcentral lists this ribosomal RNA (1172 nucleotides) under uncultured Oscillospiraceae bacterium. RNAcentral describes it as "bacterial SSU rRNA". It matches the Rfam family "Bacterial small subunit ribosomal RNA", at positions 26 to 1222 of the family's 1533-position model. Lineage: Bacteria; Bacillati; Bacillota; Clostridia; Eubacteriales; Oscillospiraceae. The record is from RNAcentral.
GCGUCGACGCUGGCGGCGCGCCUAACACAUGCAAGUCGAACGGAGCGCAUAGGAAGAUUCUUUCGGGAUGAUUUUUGUGCUGCUUAGUGGCGAACGGGUGAGUAACACGUGAGCAACCUGCCCCUCGGUGGGGGACAACAUUUGGAAACAGAUGCUAAUACCGCAUAAGACCACGGUACCGCAUGGUACUGCGGCCAAAGAAGUAAUUCGCCGAGGGAUGGGCUCGCGUCCGAUUAGCUAGUUGGUGAGGUAACGGCCCACCAAGGCAACGAUCGGUAGCCGGACUGAGAGGUUGAUCGGCCACAUUGGGACUGAGACACGGCCCAGACUCCUACGGGAGGCAGCAGUGGGGAAUAUUGCACAAUGGGCGAAAGCCUGAUGCAGCGACGCCGCGUGAGGGAAGAAGGUUUUCGGAUUGUAAACCUCUGUUUUCGGGGACGAAGAAGUGACGGUACCCGAGGAGAAAGCCACGGCUAACUACGUGCCAGCAGCCGCGGUAAAACGUAGGUGGCAAGCGUUGUCCGGAAUUACUGGGUGUAAAGGGAGCGCAGGUGGGAUGGUAAGUCGGAUGUGAAAACUAUGGGCUCAACCCAUAGACUGCGUCCGAAACUACUGUUCUUGAGUGAUGUAGAGGCAGGCGGAAUUCCCGGUGUAGCGGUGGAAUGCGUAGAUAUCGGGAGGAACACCAGUGGCGAAGGCGGCCUGCUGGGCAUUAACUGACGCUGAGGCUCGAAAGUAUGGGGAGCAAACAGGAUUAGAUACCCUGGUAGUCCAUACCGUAAACGAUGAUUACUAGGUGUGGGGGGGAUAGACCCCCUCCGUGCCGCAGCUAACGCAAUAAGUAAUCCACCUGGGGAGUACGGCCGCAAGGCUGAAACUCAAAGGAAUUGACGGGGGCCCGCACAAGCAGUGGAGUAUGUGGUUUAAUUCGACGCAACGCGAAGAACCUUACCAGGUCUUGACAUCCCGUGCAUAGCAUAGAGAUAUGUGAAGUCUUUCGGGACACGGUGACAGGUGGUGCAUGAUGUCGUCAGCUCGUGUCGUGAGAUGUUGGGUUAGUCCCGCACGAGCGCACCCUAUGUAGUACUACGCAGAGACUCUACGAGACUGCGUGACAACCGAGAGGUGGGAUGACGUCCAUCAGCAUGCCUUUAUGACUGGGCUACACCACG